This 482-nucleotide ribosomal RNA is filed under the name uncultured bacterium. Its description in RNAcentral is "partial 16S ribosomal RNA". It matches the Rfam family "Bacterial small subunit ribosomal RNA", at positions 30 to 507 of the family's 1533-position model. The record is from RNAcentral.
AUUGAACGCUGGCGGCAUGCUUUACACAUGCAAGUCGAACGGUAACAGCACUUCGGUGGCUGACGAGUGGCGAACGGGUGAGUAAUACAUCGGAACGUGCCUAGUAGUGGGGGAUAACUACUCGAAAGAGUAGCUAAUACCGCAUGAGAUCUAAGGAUGAACGCAGGGGACCUUCGGGCCUUGCGCUACUAGAGCGGCUGAUGGCAGAUUAGGUAGUUGGUGGGAUAAAAGCUUACCAAGCCGACGAUCUGUAGCUGGUCUGAGAGGACGACCAGCCACACUGGGACUGAGACACGGCCCAGACUCCUACGGGAGGCAGCAGUGGGGAAUUUUGGACAAUGGGCGCAAGCCUGAUCCAGCAAUGCCGCGUGCAGGAUGAAGGCCUUCGGGUUGUAAACUGCUUUUGUACGGAACGAAAAGCCCUCUUCUAAUACAGGAGGGUCAUGACGGUACCGUAAGAAUAAGCACCGGCUAACUACGUG